AGAAUGAUCAGUCACACUGGAACUGAGACACGGUCCACACUCAUACGGGAGGCAGCAGUGGGGAAUAUUGGACAAUGCGCGAAAGCCUGAUCCAGCCAUGCCGCGUGUGUGAAGAAGGUCUUCGGAUUGUAAAGCACUUUAAGUUGGGAGGAAGGGCAGUAAGUUAAUACCUUGCUGUUUUGACGUUACCAACAGAAUAAGCACCGGCUAACUUCGUGCCAGCAGCCGCGGUAAUACGAAGGGUGCAAGCGUUAAUCGGAAUUACUGGGCGUAAAGCGCGCGUAGGUGGUUCAGCAAGUUGGAUGUGAAAUCCCCGGGCUCAACCUGGGAACUGCAUCCAAAACUACUGAGCUAGAGUACGGUAGAGGGUGGUGGAAUUUCCUGUGUAGCGGUGAAAUGCGUAGAUAUAGGAAGGAACACCAGUGGCGAAGGCGACCACCUGGACUGAUACUGACACUGAGGUGCGAAAAGCGUGGGGGAGCAAACAGGAUUAGAUACCCUGGUAGUCCACGCCGUAAACGAUGUCGACUAGCCGUUGGGAUCCUUGAGAUCUUAGUGGGCGCAGCUAACGCGAUAAGUCGACCGCCUGGGGAGUACGGCCGCAAGGUUAAAAACUCAAAUGAAAUUGACGGGGGCCCCGCACAAGCGGUGGGAGCAUG
RNAcentral lists this ribosomal RNA (659 nucleotides) under Pseudomonas aeruginosa. RNAcentral describes it as "bacterial SSU rRNA". It matches the Rfam family "Bacterial small subunit ribosomal RNA", at positions 297 to 941 of the family's 1533-position model. The record is from RNAcentral. Lineage: Bacteria; Pseudomonadati; Pseudomonadota; Gammaproteobacteria; Pseudomonadales; Pseudomonadaceae.